AGGAUAAUAGUUAAUAAUAACAUUUAAUUUGCAAUUAAAAAGUAUUGGGAUAUCAAUUUAUCUUA
RNAcentral lists this transfer RNA (65 nucleotides) under Cryptocephalus aureolus. RNAcentral describes it as "tRNA-Ala". Lineage: Eukaryota; Metazoa; Arthropoda; Insecta; Coleoptera; Chrysomelidae. The record is from RNAcentral.